RNAcentral lists this ribosomal RNA (440 nucleotides) under uncultured bacterium. RNAcentral describes it as "partial 16S ribosomal RNA". It matches the Rfam family "Bacterial small subunit ribosomal RNA", at positions 338 to 795 of the family's 1533-position model. The record is from RNAcentral.
CCUACGGGGGGCAGCAGUGGGGAAUAUUGGACAAUGGGCGAAAGCCUGAUCCAGCCAUGCCGCGUGAGUGAUGAAGGCCCUAGGGUUGUAAAGCUCUUUCAACGGUGAAGAUAAUGACGGUAACCGUAGAAGAAGCCCCGGCUAACUUCGUGCCAGCAGCCGCGGUAAUACGAAGGGGGCUAGCGUUGUUCGGAAUUACUGGGCGUAAAGCGCACGUAGGCGGAUCGUUAAGUCGGGGGUGAAAUCCCGGGGCUCAACCCCGGAACUGCCUUCGAUACUGGCGAUCUAGAGUCCGGAAGAGGUGAGUGGAAUUCCGAGUGUAGAGGUGAAAUUCGUAGAUAUUCGGAGGAACACCAGUGGCGAAGGCGGCUCACUGGUCCGGUACUGACGCUGAGGUGCGAAAGCGUGGGGAGCAAACAGGAUUAGAUACCCCUGUAGUC